RNAcentral lists this non-coding RNA (981 nucleotides) under Melopsittacus undulatus (budgerigar). Its description in RNAcentral is "12S ribosomal RNA". It matches the Rfam family "Bacterial small subunit ribosomal RNA". Lineage: Eukaryota; Metazoa; Chordata; Aves; Psittaciformes; Psittaculidae. The record is from RNAcentral.
AAAAGACUUAGUCCUAACCUUACCGUUAAUUCUUGCUCAACACAUACAUGCAAGUAUCUGCGCCCCAGUGAAAACACCCACACACCCUUACCAAGACAAGUGGAGUAGGUAUCAGGCUCACCCACGCCGUAGCCCAAGACACCCCGCUAAGCCACACCCCCACGGGUACUCAGCAGUAGUUAACAUUAAGCAAUAGGUGUAAACCUGACUUAGUUAGAGCAACCAGGACCGGUAAAUCUUGUGCCAGCCACCGCGGUCAUACAAGAGGUCCAAAUUAACCGUAUACGGCGUAAAGAGUGGCCCUAGACUAUCAUAACCAACUAAGACCUAACCAUCAACCCAAGCCGUCAUAAGCUAAAGGUACCCUGAAGCCCAACCUAUAAACGAUCUUAGCACUUAUCGACCUAUCCCACCCCACGAAAGCUAGGACACAAACUGGGAUUAGAUACCCCACUAUGCCUAGCCCUAAAUCUAGAUGUUUUACCCACACAAACACCCGCCCGAGAACUACGAGCACAAACGCUUAAAACUCUAAGGACUUGGCGGUGCCCUAAACCCACCUAGAGGAGCCUGUUCUAUAAUCGAUAAUCCACGAUACACCCGACCACUUCUUGCCAAUAACAGCCUACAUACCGCCGUCGCCAGCCCACCUCAAAUGAGAGCACAACAGUGAGCCCAAAAGCCUACCCCGCUAAUAAGACAGGUCAAGGUAUAGCCCAUGAAGUGGAAGAAAUGGGCUACAUUUUCUAAAAUAGAACAUACCCCCAACGAAAAGAGGCCUGAAACCUGCCUCUAACAAGGCGGAUUUAGCAGUAAAGAGGAACAAUCAAGUCCUCCUUAAGCUGGUCCUAGGGCACGUACACACCGCCCGUCACCCUCCUCACAAGCCCCCAUAAUCAAACUUAACUAACACAAACACAAAGCUAAAGACGAGGUAAGUCGUAACAAGGUAAGUGUACCGGAAGGUGCACUUAGCACACC